UGAGGGAUUUUCCGCAAUGGACGAAAGUCUGACGGAGCAAUGCCGCGUGCAGGAUGACGGCCUUCGGGUUGUAAACUGCUUUUGUACAGAAAGAUUAUGACGGUACUGUAAGAAUAAGGCGCUGCUAACUACGUGCCAGCAGCAGCGGUAAUACGUAGGCGCCGAGCGUUAUUCGGAUUUACUGGGCGUAAAGGGUCCGCAGGCGGACCAAUAAGUCUGACGUUAAAGACUCCGGCUCAACCGGAGUAAGGUGUCAGAUACUGUUGGUCUUGAGGCCGGUAGAGGUUAUCGGAACUUAUCGAGUAGGGGUAAUAUCCGUUGAUACGAUAAGGAACGCCAAAGGCGAAGGCAGAUAACUGGGCCGGUCCUGACGCUCAUGGACGAAAGCGUGGGGAGCGAACGGG
Molecule: ribosomal RNA, 404 nt
Filed under: uncultured bacterium
Lineage: Bacteria
Description: bacterial SSU rRNA
Rfam family: Bacterial small subunit ribosomal RNA
Source: RNAcentral